This 73-nucleotide transfer RNA is filed under the name Rhodospirillum rubrum ATCC 11170. It matches the Rfam family "tRNA". From Rfam's summary of the family: Transfer RNA (tRNA) molecules are approximately 80 nucleotides in length. Their secondary structure includes four short double-helical elements and three loops (D, anti-codon, and T loops). The record is from Rfam by way of RNAcentral. Lineage: Bacteria; Pseudomonadati; Pseudomonadota; Alphaproteobacteria; Rhodospirillales; Rhodospirillaceae.
GAGCCCGUAGCUCAGCUGGUAGAGCAGUUGACUUUUAAUCAACGGGUCACGCGUUCGAAUCGCGUCGGGCUCA